Molecule: ribosomal RNA, 447 nt
Filed under: uncultured bacterium
Lineage: Bacteria
Description: SSU rRNA
Rfam family: Bacterial small subunit ribosomal RNA
Source: RNAcentral
AGAACGAACGCUGGCGGCAGGCCUCAAACAUGCAAGUCUAGGGGGUGUAGCAAUACAUCACCGGCGGACGGGUGCGUAACACGUGGGAAUAUACCUUUUGGUUCGGAACAACGCAGGGAAACUUGCGCUAAUACCGAAUGUGCCCUUACGGGGAAAGAUUAAUCGCCAAAGGAUUAGCCCGCGUAGGAUUAGCUAGUUGGUGAGGUAAUGGCUCACCAAGGCUCCGAUCCUUAGCUGUUCUGAGAGGAAGAUCAGCCACACUGGGACUGAGACACGGCCCAGACUCCUACGGGAGGCAGCAGUUGGGAAUCUUGGACAAUGGGGGAAACCCUGAUCCAGCCAUGCCGCGUGAGUGAUGAAGGCCUUCGGGUUGUAAAACUCUUUCGACGGGGACAUAAUGACGGUACCCGUAGAAGAAGCUCCGGCUAACUUCGCGCCAGCAGCCGC